CAGUCACCCGAUCGGUCGCAUCUACGGAGCGCUUACAGAGCACUGUACGAAGCGCUCUGGAGAGUAGAGAAACAGCGUGGCUCAGGGGAAAGAGCAUGGGCUUGGGAGUGAGGGGUCAAGGGUUCAGAUCCCGGCUCAGCCGCUUGUCAGCCGUGUUGACUUUGGGCAAGUCACUUCUCUGUGCCUCAGUGACCUCAUCUGUAAAAUGGGGAUGAAGACUGUGAGCCCCACGUGGGACAACCCGAUUCCCCUGUGUCUACCCCAGCGUUUAGAACAGUGCUCUGCACACAGUAAGGGCUUAACAGAUGCCAUUAUUAUUAUUAACAUAGAGCAAUUAAACAGACACAUCCCCCGCCCACAACGAGCUCGGCCCAAAUGUCUGAAUCGAUCUCCGGGCCCGGGCGCUGGGGCGGGAGCGGGGGGCGCGGGACACCACCCGCGGAGACACAGACACGCACGGAGAGACAGACAGAGCGGGGGAGAGACGUGAGCGGGAGGGCCGAGCCAACACCCCACGACCCCCACCCGCAGCCCCCUCCUAGGCCCUGCCCGCCCGCCCGAUGGGGGACGGGGGCUCGGGGGAGGGGAGACGCCGGCCCCGGCGGGGAGGUGGGGGGAGGGGGGUCCCUCUACCGCCCCAGGUGUCUCCCCCCCCUCCCCCCGCCCCAUCCGGGGAGGAGGGGGAGGUGGGUCACUGGAAGGGGGAGUGGGCGGGGACGGUUAUCCUCCCCCUCCGCCCCCCGGCCUAGGAGUCCGGACCUGCUCUCACGGCACAAGGACCGGUCCGAUUCUCGGGAGCCGGGAGGCUCGCUUCUCGGGAGAUUCCCACCCUCCUGGCUGGGGACCGUCCAUCCCCCCGCCGCAGGCCGCCCCGGGGACCGGCCGGGAUCGUCCCUUUCCACCCCCAGCCCCCGAGGGAGGGAUGGAGGAGGUGGGGGUGGACAGAGGGGGCGGGGAAACAGGAUCCGUCCCCAGAUAUCUUCCCGUCCCCUGGGCGGAGACGUUCGGCAGUCCGCCCGUCCGCUCGGCCCUCCUGUCCCUUCACGUCCACCCGUCCCCUCCGUCCACCUGUCCCUGCCCUGGGGCCCGGGGGCUGCUUCCCGUGGCCCCCGGCCUCUCCCCUCUCUCCCCCCUCCUUCCCAUCCUCCAGCCCCUUCCCCAAUUAUCAUUCCAACUUCGCUCCUCCGGCGAGAGGGCCCGGGGUCCUCUCCCCCGAGGGGGGGGGGGCUCGUCUGCCCCCCGGGACCCUCCCCCUCCCGCGCCGCCCGCCUGGUUUUCGGUACCUCCCGCACCCCCAGACGCCCCGGGCCCGGAGCGCCCUCCCCAUCCCCCGCUUGCUGGGGCUCCCGACCGGCCGUGGAAGACGGAUCGGGGAGGGGCGUGGGAAACGCGGGCGAGGGGCUCAAUAAAGAGGGACGGAACCCCCUCCUCCUCCUCCCCCGACCCACCCACACCCCUGGGCCCCAGACCGGCCGGGAUGGGGUGGGAUAUUGGGGGGGGGGGGUCUCAGGGACGUGGGCGCCGUUCCAGCCCCGGGCCCCACCGGGACCCUCCCCUCGCCCCUCCGCCUGGAUUCUUGGAGAGGAAAAUUCGCUUUCGGGGGGGGAAAAAAAAAAUCAUCAUUUUUUUUGGAUCCAUUUUAUUUUUGGCGAAAACGGAUUUUUCGCUCCGGGACAGAGGGGGGGCGAUCCGCCCCCUCCGUGCCCCUACCCCUACGGCCCCCUCCGCCCUGGGGGUGUCGCGCCCCUCGAAUGCCAUCCCCCCUCGGAGCUUUUGUCCCUCCCAAACCCGCACCCUCCGGCGGGGCGGGCGGCGGGGCGAAGGUGCGGGGGGUCCCCUCCGCCCCGCGUCUGGGCCGGGGGAGGGCGGGGAGGGGGGGGGAGGGAAAAAGGGGAGGGCGGGGGGGGGCGCCGAACCCCGAAACUUAAAGCCAACCCGACUUGAAGCCUCGCCAUCAAGUUUCCCUCCCGCCUCUGCCCGAGCCCCCAAACUCACCUCCGGAGCCGGCGCCGGGGCGCGGGGCGGGGCGGGGGUGGCGCGGCGGGGGGACCCUCCUUAUUCCGCUGCCGCCCCCAUCGCCGGGGACCCGGGGCUCCUCAAGGUCCGGGGGGCAGCGGCUCCCUCCGUGCGGCAUCCGACAGGAGGAGAUCGACUGGCAUCUCCACCAGCGAGGGUACCAGCCCCUAUGCCAGGGCCAUAUGGCGGCACGUCACCGGGCCGGGCUAUCACAUGAGGGACUGUGAUUGGCAUGCGUCUCCACUCGGGAAGAACCAGAUCCCGGGGGAAGGGGCUACCAUCUGUCACUCCGCGCUCCCCCCCCCUAAAAAAAAAUAAAUUAAAUAAAUAUCCCCAUCCCCGCCUGCUCCGCAGAAUCCUCCGACUCCGUGCAGGGGGAGCGGAGGGGGCUUUUUCUUAGGGUUUUGCCCCCCCACCCCCUUUGGAACAAUGGAUGGAGCCGAGGGGAGAAGGGUGGGGGCGGGAGAGGAGGGGGCUUCUCCCCCCCACACCCCCUUUUCCUCCUCCAGCACCCCCCUUCCGCACCGUCCCAUCCCCGCCGGGGUCAGGAUAGGCAGGCCUAGGCCUAGAGCAGACCCUCACCCCCAGACCCCCAGGCCCGAGAG
Molecule: long non-coding RNA, 2621 nt
Filed under: Ornithorhynchus anatinus (platypus)
Lineage: Eukaryota; Metazoa; Chordata; Mammalia; Monotremata; Ornithorhynchidae
Description: lncRNA (ENSOANG00000039395.1)
Source: RNAcentral